This 1393-nucleotide ribosomal RNA is filed under the name uncultured bacterium. Its description in RNAcentral is "partial 16S ribosomal RNA". It matches the Rfam family "Bacterial small subunit ribosomal RNA". The record is from RNAcentral.
AGAGUUUGAUCCUGGCUCAGGAUGAACGCUAGCGGGAGGCUUAAUACAUGCAAGUCGAACGGUAACAUGAGAGCUUGCUCUUGAUGACGAGUGGCGCACGGGUGAGUAACGCGUACGCGACCUGCCCUUAAUUGGGGAAUAGCCCUGGGAAACUGGGAUUAAUGCCCCAUAGUAUAUGUAUUGUAGGGAUACAUAUUAAAGGAUUUGAUCUGAUUAAGGAUGGGCGUGCGUGCUAUUAGCUAGUUGGUAAGGUAACGGCUUACCAAGGCGAUGAUAGCUAGGGGGCGUGAGAGCGUGAUCCCCCACACGGGUACUGAGACACGGACCCGACUCCUACGGGAGGCAGCAGUAAGGAAUAUUGGACAAUGCCCGCAAGGGUGAUCCAGCCAUCCCGCGUGCAGGAAGACGGCCCUAUGGGUUGUAAACUGCUUUUAUUAGGGAAGAACGACCUUCAUUAAUGAGGGUGUGACGGUACCUAAAGAAUAAGCACCGGCUAACUCCGUGCCAGCAGCCGCGGUAAUACGGGAGUGGCAAGCGUUAUCCGGAAUUAUUGGGCGUAAAGCGUCCGCAGGCGGCCCUUCAAGUCUGCUGUUAAAAAGUGGAGCUUAACUCCAUCGUGGCAGUGGAAACUGUUGGGCUAGAGUGUGGUAGGGGCAGAGGGAAUUCCCGGUGUAGCGGUGAAAUGCGUAGAUAUCGGGAAGAACACCAGUGGCGAAGGCGCUCUGCUGGGCCAUAACUGACGCUCAUGGACGAAAGCCAGGGGAGCGAAAGGGAUUAGAUACCCCUGUAGUCCUGGCCGUAAACGAUGAACACUAGGUGUCGGGGGAAUCGACCCCCUCGGUGUCGUAGCCAACGCGUUAAGUGUUCCGCCUGGGGAGUACGCACGCAAGUGUGAAACUCAAAGGAAUUGACGGGGGCCCGCACAAGCGGUGGAGUAUGUGGUUUAAUUCGAUGCAACGCGAAGAACCUUACCAGGGUUUGACAUCCUGCGAAUCUCCUGGAAACGGGAGAGUGCCUUCGGGAACGCAGUGACAGGUGGUGCAUGGCUGUCGUCAGCUCGUGUCGUGAGAUGUUGGGUUAAGUCCCGCAACGAGCGCAACCCACGUCUUUAGUUGCCGGCAUUCAGUUGGGCACUCUAGAGAGACCGCCGGUGAUAAACCGGAGGAAGGUGUGGAUGACGUCAAGUCAUCAUGCCCCUUACAUCCUGGGCUACACACGUACUACAAUGCUACGGACAAAGGGCAGCAAACUCGCGAGAGCUAGCAAAUCCCAUAAACCGUGGCUCAGUUCAGAUCGUAGGCUGCAACUCGCCUACGUGAAGGAGGAAUCGCUAGUAAUCGCAGGUCAGCAUACUGCGGUGAAUACGUUCCCGGGCCUUGCACACACCGCCCGU